AACGUAGGACACAAGCGUUAUCCGGAGUUACUGGGCGUAAAGAGCGCGCAGGCGGUCGAUCAAGUCGAGUGUGAAAGCCCCCGGCUCAACUGGGGAGGGUCAUUCGAUACUGAUCGACUCGAAGGCAGGAGAGGGUAGUGGAAUUCCCGGUGUAGUGGUGAAAUGCGUAGAUAUCGGGAGGAACACCAGUGGCGAAGGCGAGUCUCUGGACAGUUACUGACACUGAGGCACGAAGGCCAGGGGAGCAAACGGG
RNAcentral lists this ribosomal RNA (253 nucleotides) under uncultured bacterium. RNAcentral describes it as "partial 16S ribosomal RNA". It matches the Rfam family "Bacterial small subunit ribosomal RNA", at positions 524 to 776 of the family's 1533-position model. The record is from RNAcentral.